Long non-coding RNA from Myxocyprinus asiaticus (Chinese sucker), 2122 nucleotides. RefSeq lists it as uncharacterized. The record is from RefSeq and is a predicted model, not a curated record. The transcript is spliced from 3 exons. Lineage: Eukaryota; Metazoa; Chordata; Actinopteri; Cypriniformes; Catostomidae.
AUCCUCAAUCUGCUGAGUCGCAUCCAUCUUCCCCUCCAGCUAAAAGUUCAGCAGGUUCCCGCCUCCUCCUUGCCCGACCUUUAUCUGUUACUGUGGUGCCGAAUCCCGGGAGGGAGGAGGAAUGUGUUGUCGCGGAGUCCUCACUGCUGCUAUCCGCCUGGGGAGCAGCCACGGCCAUCUGCCUGGGAACGGAGGGGUUGCUGCUGGCCGGCGAGAGCCUGAGGAACCGCUGCCGUCCGCAGAGAUGGGGAGGAGCAGUUCCGUCCGCCAGGGGUCGGAGGGCUCGUUGCAUCUGCCAGGGGAGGAGCGAGCUGUCGUCCGCCAGAGGUGGGAAGAGUGGUUGAGGACCGGGCGACAGCGUGUCCAGGGACAGGCGAGUGAGACCCUUUCCCUCUCCUCAUGCCUCCCCUCGUCACUCCCCCAGGUUCCCAGGAGGCGGGGAGGACCACAGACUGACAGAACGGCCGGAAGUGCAGCGUCUCCCCUCCAGAGAAGUCAGUCCGGUGGCACCCCAGCCUGAAUCGGGCAGGGGAGGAGUGUGACGAGGAGGAGGGCGUGGCCGGGCUGUGAGGGUGCAAGGCCGGCGCUGAAUCAGAUGAUCAGCAGGAGAGCGAGAUAAAGGGGGGCCGGAGAUGCCAGUUUGGGAGAGAGAGAGAGUUAUGUUGAGUUUUACCAUUAAACUUUACGUUGACUGUUCAGCCGGUUCCCACCUCCUCCUUGCCCAGCCUUUAAUUGGCGAUGGACAGCAGCUGUUAGAUCCAUUAAGUCCACACACACCAUUAACUCCCUGACCUCAGCUGAGAAGCAGACACUGAAGAACUAGAAUUUGAAAGGCAUGUCAGAGUCUUAUAAAGGAAGAUUUAACCCAGUUACUGAUGGAACAGAAGACAUGCGACAUCUCAUGGGCAAUCUUUAAAAAAAUUUGCAUCUUUAAUGGGGUCAUUGGAUGUGAACUACAGUAUGUUCUUUUUGUCGGCUUUAAUCCCUUUGUUGAUGUGGUACUGUGUCAGAUUUAAUUAAUUAAGGGAAUAUUUAAAUGUAAUAAAACGGGCAAAACUGUAUCUUUUGUUUGAAUAAUUGCAUACAGUAAAAAGGGGCCAAUUUGAAAGCAAAUUAAACAGUGACUUAAUACAUAGGAACACUAACACAAGGUGAUUUAACUGAUUAAAAGACUUAACGACACAAUAAUAGGCUACUUUAAUGAUUUAAACGAUUUUUCUUUGUCGUUCUCCGUCGCCCCACCCUUCCAGUCCUCCGCUUGAUUAGUCCAUCACAGCGCUCCAUAUAUGCACAUCGUCAAAAGAGUUUAAUACAAUAAUAAAUGCAGAAAAUACUUGAAAAAUAAUAAUAAACAAAUAAUUCUACACGAUAAUAUCGCUAUUACUGUAUGUGAUAUUCAAAUCAGUGCCACGUGUCAUAGCUCGCGCGCUGGUCACUGAUGGUCCUGACAGCUGUUUAAAGGGCUCGUGACAGUGAUAACUGGUGGGCACGGUAAUAAUUAUUGUGCGCGCGGCUGCUCAGAUCAAACCCGCCACACCCGGUGCAUCGCAAAGAAUGGGAGAAAGAAAGACGACAAACCCCCCUCUACUCCGUCAAUCACUUCACCCAUCGUACUCUGAUUUAUAGACAACGAGAUUUCUGAGAAUGCGGAAUUUGAGCGUCAUUCAUUCAAAGACAGAGCAAUUGUUCUAUUUAGUAAAUAGAACAGGAGAUUUCCCGAAUUUAGGUCGUGAAAAAAGGAGCUCAGAUGAGGCAUGCAAAAUGAGAACAAGGUUACAGUAGACUAAUUAAAAAGAUUUCAAUAAAUAUAGAAUAAAUGGCUAUAAAAAUGUUAUUAAACUGUCCAACAUGUUGCUAUCAUGUAAUAAAUUAUUAAUUGUGCAGGUCUAAAUACAUCUUAAAGAGUGUGCUGUGUAAUAUUAUUAAUACUAAUUUGUCGAGAAAUUCUGCACAAAAUUAAGACUAAAUCAUUAUAUUUUAGAUUUUGUAAAAGUAAAAGCCUAUCUUAAGUAUUGUCAAAGCACUGGCAUCCUCUAUAUAUAGGGGCUUCAUUGUUGCAUUGUGAGACCCUUCUAUAGUUCUUUUAUACUUAUGCCAAAUCCAAAUCACUCGCUUUAUACUC